GCUAGGCUAGAGGAAGUGGCAAGAACAUACUGCUGAGCUGCUGGACAGACAGACGGGGAUGGUUCCCUCUUCAGUGGUCGCUGUACUGUAAAACUGUGCUCCUAGUUGGUGCAUGUGAUAUGUCAAAAGAUUCAGUGUCAAGGAUCAUACUUGAAUGGGCUACACUCACUCUACAGCAGGAAUUUCAAAAUGAUCGAACAGACCACAGCAGAAUGGAGAAAUACAACUUUUGCUGAUGAAUCCUCUGGCCUGUAAUGAUGUCAUCCCAGAAAGUGAGAUUCAAGCUUACGGAAAGGAGUUAGAGACUUGCAAAAUAAUAAUU
This is a long non-coding RNA of Athene cunicularia (burrowing owl), 322 nucleotides long. RefSeq lists it as uncharacterized. The record is from RefSeq and is a predicted model, not a curated record. The transcript is spliced from 3 exons. Lineage: Eukaryota; Metazoa; Chordata; Aves; Strigiformes; Strigidae.